This is a long non-coding RNA of Dendroctonus ponderosae (mountain pine beetle), 450 nucleotides long. RefSeq lists it as uncharacterized. NCBI's taxonomy places the organism in Eukaryota, Metazoa, Arthropoda, Insecta, Coleoptera, Curculionidae. The transcript is spliced from 2 exons. The record is from RefSeq and is a predicted model, not a curated record.
UUUAAUUUCAAAUAAUUGGACGAGUUUUUUCUGUCAACAGUGCAACACACCAGUUCGAAUGCGAAUUGGAUUUGUUCAUGUUAGUGUGGUCGAUUUUUAGCAAGUAGCUCUUCAAACAGUACACACUUGGAACAAGUGGCCUCUCAAUCAUCAAGCCGAUAAUUGAUCCACUUGGAACAUUUAUUAUGUUUACAAUUGUGUCCAAAAAAUAGUCGUUAUUUGCAAAUGACAAUGUUGGAAUAUUGAACACAAAUAGAAAAUAUCGAUGGCAAAGUUGCUGGAGAAGCUAGAUUUAGUAUUCUGGAUAUUUCCUACAAUAUGUCGAGGCAUCCACAAAAGCGGCUCGAAUUUUCCGACACUGGGGCUUUCACGGAAUGUAAUAUAGGGGCCAAAUCGAAAAUAUACUAAUAACUUUGUUUGAUAAUCUCCAAUAAACUGGCUUAAAUUUUU